CCGGCUGGGCUUCUCGGAGGUGGAGCAGGUGCAGAUGGUGGUGGACGGCGUCAAGCUCAUGGUGGAGAUGGAGAAGAAGCUGGAGCAGAACCAGCCCAUAGACGACAUGAUCCCGGCCCAGAAGUAACCCCACAGCCGCCCCACGGCUGCCCCAUGGCUGCCCCACGGCCGCCUGGGGAGGGGGGGGGGACCCCGAGCUGUGCUGCAAUAAAGCGGGGCUCUAUGGCUGCCUA
This 233-nucleotide long non-coding RNA is filed under the name Gallus gallus (chicken). The record is from RNAcentral. Lineage: Eukaryota; Metazoa; Chordata; Aves; Galliformes; Phasianidae.